AAGGCCCUGCUUUUGUGGGGUGCUCGAGUGGCGAACGGGUGAGUAACACGUGAGUAACCUGCCCUUGACUUUGGGAUAACUUCAGGAAACUGGGGCUAAUACCGGAUAGGAGCUCCUGCUGCAUGGUGGGGGUUGGAAAGUUUCGGCGGUUGGGGAUGGACUCGCGGCUUAUCAGCUUGUUGGUGGGGUAGUGGCUUACCAAGGCUUUGACGGGUAGCCGGCCUGAGAGGGUGACCGGCCACAUUGGGACUGAGAUACGGCCCAGACUCCUACGGGAGGCAGCAGUGGGGAAUAUUGCACAAUGGGCGGAAGCCUGAUGCAGCAACGCCGCGUGCGGGAUGACGGCCUUCGGGUUGUAAACCGCUUUCGCCUGUGACGAAGCGUGAGUGACGGUAAUGGGUAAAGAAGCACCGGCUAA
Molecule: ribosomal RNA, 418 nt
Filed under: Cutibacterium acnes
Lineage: Bacteria; Bacillati; Actinomycetota; Actinomycetes; Propionibacteriales; Propionibacteriaceae
Description: bacterial SSU rRNA
Rfam family: Bacterial small subunit ribosomal RNA
Source: RNAcentral